Molecule: transfer RNA, 75 nt
Filed under: bacterium
Lineage: Bacteria
Description: tRNA-Ala
Rfam family: tRNA
About the family: Transfer RNA (tRNA) molecules are approximately 80 nucleotides in length. Their secondary structure includes four short double-helical elements and three loops (D, anti-codon, and T loops). Further hydrogen bonds mediate the characteristic L-shaped molecular structure. tRNAs have two regions of fundamental functional importance: the anti-codon, which is responsible for specific mRNA codon recognition, and the 3' end, to which the tRNAs corresponding amino acid is attached (by aminoacyl-tRNA synthetases). tRNAs cope with the degeneracy of the genetic code in two manners: having more than one tRNA (with a specific anti-codon) for a particular amino acid; and 'wobble' base-pairing, i.e. permitting non-standard base-pairing at the 3rd anti-codon position.
Source: RNAcentral
GGGCCAGUAGCUCAGAGGCAGAGCACCUCAUUUGCAAUGAGGGGGUCGCGGGUUCGAUUCCCGCCUGGUCCACCA